Molecule: ribosomal RNA, 460 nt
Filed under: uncultured bacterium
Lineage: Bacteria
Description: partial 16S ribosomal RNA
Rfam family: Bacterial small subunit ribosomal RNA
Source: RNAcentral
CCUACGGGAGGCAGCAGUGAGGAAUAUUGGUCAAUGGACGAGAGUCUGAACCAGCCAAGUAGCGUGAAGGAUGACUGCCCUAUGGGUUGUAAACUUCUUUUAUAUGGGAAUAAAACGUUCCACGUGUGGGAUUUUGUAUGUACCAUAUGAAUAAGGAUCGGCUAACUCCGUGCCAGCAGCCGCGGUAAUACGGAGGAUCCGAGCGUUAUCCGGAUUUAUUGGGUUUAAAGGGAGCGUAGGUGGAUUGUUAAGUCAGUUGUGAAAGUUUGCGGCUCAACCGUAAAAUUGCAGUUGAAACUGGCAGACUUGAGUACAGUAGAGGUGGGCGGAAUUCGUGGUGUAGCGGUGAAAUGCUUAGAUAUCACGAAGAACUCCGAUUGCGAAGGCAGCUCACUGGACUGCAACUGACACUGAGGCUCGAAAGUGUGGGUAUCAAACAGGAUUAGAUACCCCAGUAGUC